UUCGCAAUGCCCGAAAGGGUGACGAAGCGACGCCGCGUGAGUGAGGAAGGCCUUCGGGUUGUAAAGCUCUGUCAGGAGUUAAGAAAUAUAAGUGUGUUAAUACCACAUUUAUUUGACGAAGGCUCCAAAGGAAGCCACGGCUAACUCUGUGCCAGCAGCCGCGGUAAUACAGAGGUGGCAAGCGUUGUUCGGAAUUAUUGGGCGUAAAGGGCACGUAGGUGGGUUUGUAAGUCAGAUGUGAAAGCCUUCUGUUCGACGGAAGAAUUGCAUCUGAAACUGCGAGUCUUGAGUGUAGGAGGGGAGAAUGGAACUUCUGGUGGAGCGGUGAAAUGCGUAGAUAUCAGAAGGAACGCCGGCGGCGAAAGCGAUUCUCUGGCCUAUUACUGACACUCGGUGUGCGAAAGCUAGGGGAGCAAACGGGAUUAGAUACCCCGGUAGUCCUAGCUGUAAACGAUGGGCACUAAGUAGAGGGGUUUUA
This 478-nucleotide ribosomal RNA is filed under the name uncultured anaerobic ammonium-oxidizing bacterium. RNAcentral describes it as "bacterial SSU rRNA". It matches the Rfam family "Bacterial small subunit ribosomal RNA", at positions 365 to 833 of the family's 1533-position model. The record is from RNAcentral.